This 448-nucleotide ribosomal RNA is filed under the name uncultured bacterium. RNAcentral's name for it is "bacterial SSU rRNA". It matches the Rfam family "Bacterial small subunit ribosomal RNA", at positions 331 to 793 of the family's 1533-position model. The record is from RNAcentral.
CCAGACUCCUACGGGAGGCAGCAGUGGGGAAUAUUGGGCAAUGGGCGCAAGCCUGACCCAGCAACGCCGCGUGAAGGAAGAAGGCUUUCGGGUUGUAAACUUCUUUUAUUCGGGACGAAGCAAGUGACGGUACCGAAUGAAUAAGCCACGGCUAACUACGUGCCAGCAGCCGCGGUAAUACGGAGGAUGCGAGCGUUAUCCGGAUUUAUUGGGUUUAAAGGGUGCGCAGGCGGUCUGUUAAGUCAGCGGUAGAAGGCCGGGGCCCCCCCCCCGCCCCGCCGUUGAAACUGGCAGUCUCGAGUUGGAGAGAAGUAUGCGGAAUGCGCGGUGUAGCGGUGAAAUGCAUAGAUAUCGCGCAGAACUCCGAUUGCGAAGGCAGCAUGCCGGCUCCACACUGACGCUGAGGCACGAAAGCGUGGGUAUCGAACAGGAUUAGAUACCCCCGUAC